AACGUGUCUUUUCCCGUCUGGCAACCGUGAGCAGAUACUUCCGGGUGUUUUUGUUUUUGAUUGGCCAGUUGAUGACUGCUUGGCGUCCCAAAAAAACGUCCACGGGACAACUUUGACGUCUUCUGACAAGGUUGGACGUGAUUGUUAUUUCAUAUCAAAUAAGAUGGCCGACCGCCGUGACGGCGACGCCAAGGGCGCGUUCGGCGGACACGCCUUUCAUUUCGCCGAAACCAACGGCGACAGAAUAUACAUGGACUACAACGCCACCACGCCGCUGGAACCACAAGUCAUGCAGGCUGUUUGCGAGGCCCUGCAGGACGCCUGGGGCAACCCCAGCAGCAGCUACGCAGCAGGUGUGAAAGCCAAGGCCAUCAUCAAGCAGGCCAGAGAGAACGUGGCGAGGAUGGUCGGCGGAAAAGCAGAGGACAUCAUCUUCACGUCGGGAGGAACCGAGGCCAACAACAUGGUGCUGCACACCGCCGUGGAACAUUUCACUCGCCACCAGGACGGGAACCUUCCACACGUCAUCACCUCCAACGUGGAGCACGACUCGGUCAAACUGGCGGCCGAGCGCCUGCAGAGGGACGGCAAGGCGGAUGUGACCUUUGUGCCCGUUUCCACGGCGACGGGCCGCGUGGAGGUGGACGAUGUCCUGGCGGCCGUGCGCCCCAACACUUGCCUGGUGUCCAUCAUGCUGGCCAACAACGAGACGGGCGUCAUUAUGCCUGUGCGUGAAGUGUGCCAGAGAGUCCAGGUUCUGAACCAGCGCAGGCAUGUGAGAAUCCUGCGUCACACUGACGCCGCUCAGGCUGUGGGCAAGAUCCCCGUGGACGUGUGUGACCUGGGCGUGGACUACCUCACCAUCGUGGGUCACAAGUUUUACGCGCCCAGGAUCGCUGCCUUGUUCGUCAGGGGCCCCGGGGCCACCACGCCACUAUACCCCGUGCUCGUUGGCGGGGGACAGGAGAGGAACUUCAGACCGGGGACUGAAAACACACCAAUGAUCGCUGGACUGGGGAAGGCUGCAGAGCUGGUGACCAAUCACGGCGCAGCUUAUGAGCGUCACAUGCUGGAUACAAGAGUGCACCUGGAGGAGCGGCUGAAGGCCACCUUUAAAGACAAGCUGCACUUCAACAGCCAUUUUGCGGGCUCUGACUGCCUUCCCAACACGUGCAACGUCUCCCUGCUGGGCGCCCGCUUGCAGGGCUGGCGGGUGUUGUCGCACUGCCGCAAGCUGCUGGCCAGCGUGGGCGCCGCCUGCCACUCGGACCGCGGCGACAGGCCGUCCCACAUCCUGCUGAGCUGCGGCGUGCGGGAGGAAGUGGCCGCCAACGCCUUGAGGCUGAGCGUGGGCAGGAGGACCUCCAGGGAAGACGUGGAGCAGGUGGUGCAGGACCUGGAGAAGGCGGUGAAGCACUUGGAGCAGGCGGAGUAGAACUGGCUGCAGCAACCUUUCUGUACCUCAGUCAAAGAAGGCAGGAGAACUCUUCUGGUCUGGACUCUUCCUCCUCCAGAGAGAACUUCGCUUUGGAGUCCAGAUGUCAACCAGUUUUGAGGUCCUACAUCUCCAGGAGCUCGGCUAAUAUCCAUCCAUCCAUCCAUUUCCUACCGCUUAUUCCCUUUUUGGGGUCGCGGGGGGCACUGGCGCCUAUCUCAGCUACAAUCGGGCGGAAAGCGGGGUACACCCUGGACAAGUCGCUACCUCAUCGCAGGGCCAACACAGGCUAAUAAUACAUUUGAAAAUAAAAUAACAAUAAUGAAUGAACAAAACAUUCAAGCCUUGAAGUAGCAAGAGAAAAUGCGUGAAUAAAACGUUAAUUAUUGGUCAGUUUGCUGGAUGUUUCCCGGAAGAGUUAGUGCUGCAAGGGGUUCUGGGUAUUGUGGGGCGGUAUAGCUCGGUUGGUAGAGCGGCCGUGCCAGCAACUUGAGGGUUGCGGGUUCGAUCGCCGCUUCCACCAUCCUAGUCACUGCUGUUGUGUCCUUGGGCAAGGCACUUUGAGUCACUAGAGAAAAAGCGCUAUAUAAAUAUAAUUCACUUCACAUUUUUGUCAAUAAAAAUAAAAACCUUUUUUUUUUACAAUAAAGCAAAAUGCAACAAAACACAGAGGAACAUGACGGCAAAGGACCAAAACACCCACAGGUCAUAUGAUAAUCAGAAUCUAUAUCAUAAUGAUCCACAUCAUAAUAAUCUAUAUCAGGGGCGUCAAAGUCAAAAAGAGAGUGGGCCAAAAUUUUAAACUGAACAAAGCCGGGGGCCAAGGUUGAACGAAUUAACCUUUUAAUAGGGACCCAAACAAAUUUUGCAUGAAAUAUUGAACAAGAAAGGCUUAUAUAACUUUAGUGACAUGCAAAAUCCAGUUUCAAAUAAUAAUGAUUAAAAAAAUAUCAAUGACUAAUCAAAUAAAAUUUAAAUAAACAUUUUAUGCCUUUUUUUCUAUUUGCAAUCUUCUGAGGUAAAUAUCAAUUUUUUUCCACAGGCUAAUAUCCAUCCAUCCAUCCAUUUCCUACCGCUUAUUCCCUUUUUGGGGUCGCGGGGGGCACUGGCGCCUAUCUCAGCUACAAUCGGGCGGAAAGCGGGGUACACCCUGGACAAGUCGCCACCUCAUCGCAGGGCCAACACAGGCUAAUAAUACAUUUGAAAAUAAAAUAACAAUAAUUAAUGAACCAAACAUUCAAGCCUUGAAGUAGCAAGAGAAAAUGCGUGAAUAAAACGUUAAUUAUUGGUCAGUUUGCUGGAUGUUUCCCGGAAGAGUUAGUGCUGCAAGGGGUUCUGGGUAUUGUGGGGCGGUAUAGCUCGGUUGGUAGAGCGGCCGUGCUAGCAACUUGAGGGUUGCAGGUUCGAUCCCCGCUUCCACCAUCCUAGUCACUGCCGUUGUGUCCUUGGGCAAGACACUUUACCCACCUGCUCCCAGUGCCACCCACACUGGUUUAAAUGUAACUUAGAUGUUGGGUUUCACUAUGUCAUCAUAUGAUCAUCAUGUGAUUAUCGUGUCAUGUGGUCAUCAUGUCAUGUCAUGUCUUAAUCAUGUGAUCAUCAUGUGGUCAUGUCAUCAUCUGAUCAUAUAAUGUGAUCAUCAUGUGACCACAUCAUUGUGUCAUGAUAAGGUCAUCAUGUCAUGUCAUCAUCAUAUGAUCAUCAUGUGACUAUAAUGCCAUGUGGUCAUCAUGUCAUGUCAUGUCUUAAUCAUGUGAUCAUCAUGUGGUCAUGUCAUCACCUGGUCAUCAUGUAAUCAUGUGAUCAUCAUGUGAUUAUCAUGUCUUCAUGUGGUCGUCAUGUCAUCAUGUAAUCAUGUGAUCAUCAUGUGGUCAUGUCAUCAUCUGGUCAUCAUGUAAUCAUGUGAUCAUCAUGUGAUUAUCAUGUCUUCAUGUGGUCAUCAUGUCAUCAUGUAAUCAUGUGAUCCUGUCAUGUGAUUAUCAUGUCUUCAUGUCAUCAUCUGGUCAUCAUGUAAUCAUGUGAUCAUCACAUGUGAUCAUCAUGUGAUUAUCAUGUCAUCAUGUCAUGUCAUGUCUUAAUCAUGUGAUCAUCAUGUGGUCAUGUCAUCAUCUGAUCAUAUAAUGUGAUCAUCAUGUGACCACAUCAUUGUGUCAUGAUAAGGUCAUCAUGUCAUGUCAUCAUCAUAUGAUCAUCAUGUGACUAUAAUGCCAUGUGGUCAUCAUGUCAUGUCAUGUCUUAAUCAUGUGAUCAUCAUGUGGUCAUGUCAUCAUCUGGUCAUCAUGUGAUCAUCAUGUGGUUAUCAUGUCUUCAUGUGGUCAUCAUGUCAUCAUGUAAUCAUGUGAUCCUGUCAUGUGAUUAUCAUGUCUUCAUGUCAUCAUCUGGUCAUCAUGUAAUCAUGUGAUCAUCUCAUGUGAUCAUCAUGUGAUUAUCAUGUCAUCAUGUCAUCAUCAUGUGGUCAUGUCAUCAUCUGAUCAUAUAAUGUGAUCAUCAUGUGACCACAUCAUUGUGUCAUGAUGUGGUCAUCAUGUCAUGUCAUCAUCAUAUGAUCAUCAUGUGAUUAUUUCAUGUGGUCAUCAUGUCAUGUCAACAUCUUGUGAUCAUCAUGUCAUCAUGUGAUCAUCACUCCCACUACCGCACCUUUAGUUGGAGUCCUAAAUCUCGUUAUAUGCAAAUAUAAUGACAAUAAAGUCUAUUUUUUUCAUUCUAUUCUAUGUCAUCAUGUGUUCAUCACGUGAUCAUCAUGUGAUCAUCAUGUUUCGUUUUGAUAGUGUGAUAACUAUAAUAAUAUUUAAAAAAAUCAGUCUAUAAAAAUUCAGUUUCUAAGAAUUCAGGUACAACAAUUUAAUGUUGUUUUU
Molecule: RNA transcript, 4290 nt
Organism: Nerophis ophidion (straightnose pipefish)
Lineage: Eukaryota; Metazoa; Chordata; Actinopteri; Syngnathiformes; Syngnathidae
Gene: scly
Gene name: selenocysteine lyase
Exons: 13
Source: RefSeq, a predicted model, not a curated record